RNAcentral lists this long non-coding RNA (1537 nucleotides) under Nicotiana benthamiana. RNAcentral describes it as "long non-coding RNA (NBEN_LNC004230)". Lineage: Eukaryota; Viridiplantae; Streptophyta; Magnoliopsida; Solanales; Solanaceae. The record is from RNAcentral.
GUGAGAUGUACCCGAUGUGCAUCCUUAUAUGCAAACAAUCAGAGAUAAUAGUAAUGUUCAACUAUUAUGGCACGUUGCAGAGAAAAAAAUAUAAAGGGUAAGCUUACCUAUUUCGUGAAUUACAAGAGGAUUGCAUAUCUCUUCUCCCUUUUACAUAUUUUCACGGGCUGCAGUUGCACAAAGUUGAUGGCUAGCAGCUGUUAGAGAAGUAGGCAAGAGCUUUAAAUGUGUACACUAAAGCUAUAGUUACAGAAAAAUAGAGCGCAAGAGCACAGAAUAUUAUCAAUGUUUUAUUGAUACACACAUGUAAGACAACUAAGGUGUCAAACACAUUCUACCUAGGAAAAAGAAAGACUCCUUUAUCAAUAUAUAUGGUACAAUGAGUACAACAUUAUAACCUUUUUCAAGAAGAGCAUGAGGUUCUCGUAGGGUAAGCACAGUUCGUUUUGGGAAUCCUACUUUGUAUAAUGAUGAUGUUGCCUGCUCCGAGACAGCAACAGUUGCAUUUUCAGCAAGGUUAUGUUUUGCAGUGUCUUGUUUUCUCAUACGUAAGUUGCAUUGCAGCCUUCCUUUUUUCUCCAUGUAGACAGUUAUUCGUUUUUUUCGAAUCCAUCAGUUAUGCAAGUUUAAGUUCCUUUUAUACCUAUAGAUAUUUGCAGUAACAGUACUUCAUGAAAUGUUUGGAAAACACAUAUUAUAUUUUAUGAUUAAAAAAGAGACAAAAGAUACAAAUGUAAUUUCAUGAGCAAGAUUAAAUGUUAACAUUUAUCAUGAGUACCCUAUUAUAAAAAUUUUAACAAACAAUUUCACAGGUAAUGGCUAUCAACAGUUGUAGUAGAUAAAAUCAUAGAAAAAACGUGCUUAAACUUGUAUCAUUAUAAGCAUGUCUCUUGUUGAGGAGAAUGUCUAAAGACUCAUUCAGCCAAAAAGGGAAUUUCUAGAACAAAGCUGGGAAUUAUCUCAUGGGUACAAUUUUAACAAUGUGGUUAUACCCGAAAAAAUUGUCCCGGCCAAGAAUCCGUGGUUAUCCUAUUUUCCUCUGCCCAGUAAUUGGUUGGAAUACUCCAUCUUUCGCUUGUUCAAGUCAACACUAAUUGCCAAAUGAAAACAAUGGUAUUAUCCAAAAUAACUUUAGAGUUAGCAAACAGUUUCACCGAAUACUUAGAGAAAUAUUAGUCGUGCUUAAUCACUUGCUUAUCCCCAUUGUUACCUCUGUUAUCCCGAUCCAUAAAAUCGUAAAAUAAAUAAAAAAUUUACCAUCGUAUAUCCUGAAGGGAAAACUGAAAGGAACACAGAAUAAACUGAACUCACUCAGAAGUGGUCAGCUGGAAAUAUGGCAACAACAAGAAAAACCAAGAGCCAAAGUAUAAACAAAGAGGCGAGAGAAAGUGUAAGCCGAAUGAAGAUUCUACACGAGGAAUCGUGAAAUUUUGUGUUUGCCCACCGUUUAGCAAAAAGGAAAUAUAAUGUGGCCUAUUCUCAGACUAUCAGGCAUGUGAAACAGCAGACAGAGAAAUUUGGUAAAGUUGAUGAUAGC